This 1744-nucleotide long non-coding RNA is filed under the name Solanum tuberosum (potato). RNAcentral's name for it is "long non-coding RNA (STUB_LNC002148)". The record is from RNAcentral. Lineage: Eukaryota; Viridiplantae; Streptophyta; Magnoliopsida; Solanales; Solanaceae.
GUUUACAUCCCUACUCUAUUCAAAUAGGGAGAAACGUCGCGGUGACUCAAAAAAUAAUCAGUUAAUUAAAUUUUGAAUUUUUUUAAAGAUUAAACGAAUUUUAAAGGAGUCGCCACCUAAUUUUAAGAAAACUAGGAAACCAAUUAAAUAAUCUACGAAACCAAGAGAUUCUAGGUAAGGGGUUCAAGUUAUUUCGAAGGGAAGGGGUUAAGCAUCCUUUGAAAUCCACAAAUGUGGAUCCCGACUGAAUUCAUUUUUUUUCAAAUUGAGGAGGAGAAUAAAAUAAUGUACAAAUAUAAUAAACAUGCAAUAUACACAAGUAAUAAAGUAGACAAGUAAUAUGAGAAACAACUUAAUAUUUGUCUAUCGUCAACAAUAUACAUCAUAAUGAAUAUAACAUUCGAACUUUAUUCGAAUGACUUUGAUGAGAAGUGACUUCGGAGUACCUGUAAAGACACUUAGUAAAAGUGUUAGUACUAAAUAAAUAUGACUAAAAGUAAAUGAAUUAGACAACAACUUAAAAAUAAACAUCCGUCUUAUUAACAUGAGAGGCCUUAGAAAUCGACGGUAAUUUCUUCAUCGGCCAUUUUUAACAAAUAAAAUAUAUAAACUUAAACUAAAUUUCCGUCUUUUACAAUGUAAAGGCCUCCAAAAUCGACGGAGAGAUUUUCUCAUUGACCAUUUUUAACAAACAAAAAAUUAAAUCCACAAAUAAACCAAUGAUAACGCAAUGGUAAAAUGAAAUAAUAAUAAGCAAGAUUAUAUUCCGAUCCAAAGUAAUCAACGAAGUAAACCACAAAAACUAUCAAAAGACAAACCACAUAUAUAUAGAAACAAUCAUUAAAAGAUUAUUGGAAAAGAGUCUAAAAGUAACAUAAAAUUAACAACUAGAUAUGAUAGCUAAGUAAUUGAUUUUAACAUUAUAACAAUAACAAAAUAAUCAAAAGACGGUAAUAAGCAAAACAAAAUAGAACAUUGGAAAGUGGCAAACAAAUACAAAAAGAAACAUUUGAACAGUAGCUUGAGAUUUUUUUAUUUUUGUAAACAUGUUUAUCAUCAAAAUAUAUAUAUAUAUUAAAUAAUAACAAAUAAGGGUAAGCAAAUCUAGGAAAAUUAUACACCAACAACUAUAACGUUAAGUGGUCAAACAAAUGUCAGCAAUAAAAUAAACAAAAAUAAUAGUAAUAAAAAUAAAUAAAAUAAUGUAGAUCAAUGAACAGGAAAAGAGGUUAGCUAGUUAUAAAUGAAGUUUGACCGAAGUUUAAUCUUUCCGGUGAAAUCUGAAAUGAGAUAAUAUACACUAUUUUACUUGAACAAAAAUAAUAACAUGAAAAUAAUUCAAAUCAGUUUCAACAAUCAUAAUAAAUAAAUAAUAACCAACAAAGAGAACAAAAUAUCAGUAAUAAGAAUCAAACCCAACAAAAAUAAAAUAGAACAAAGGUAACAAAUGAAGUUUCAACUCAAGCAAAAAGCCAAAACAUUAAUAUCCACCGGAGAAGAUAAAAUAUUGUUGGAAAAAAUAUUGGCCGGAGUUUGAACUUCUUCGGCCAGAUCUGAAAGAAAAAUGAAAUGAAAGAGAAAUAGUUUAUUUACCGGAGUUGGAGUAUUCGGACUGAAUCUGGUCUUUUAAUGCAACUGAUUCCGCCAGAGAGUGUGGGAUUUGUUCGAGUCCUGUUCGGAGCUUUGAGCUUCUUCACCAUAGAUCUGCAAAAAAAAACAACAAUAAAUAUCGUAAAAGGGAAAG